GACGAACGCUGGCGGCGUGCUUAACACAUGCAAGUCGAACGGAAAGGCCCUGCUUUUGUGGGGUGCUCGAGUGGCGAACGGGUGAGUAACACGUGAGUAACCUGCCCUUGACUUUGGGAUAACUUCAGGAAACUGGGGCUAAUACCGGCUAGGAGCUCCUGCUUCAUGGUGGGGGUUGGAAAGUUUCGGCGGUUGGGGAUGGACUCGCGGCUUAUCAGCUUGUUGGUUGGGUAGUGGCUUACCAAGGCUUUGACGGGUAGCCGGCCUGAGAGGGUGACCGGCCACAUUGGGACUGAGAUGCGGCCCAGACUCCUACGGGAGGCAGCAGUGGGGAAUAUUGCACAAUGGGCGGAAGCCUGAUGCAGCAACGCCGCGUGCGGGAUGACGGCCUUCGGGUUGUAAUCCGCUUUCGCCUGUGACGAAGCGUGAGUGACGGUAAUGGGUAAAGAAGCACCGGCUAACUACGUG
Molecule: ribosomal RNA, 468 nt
Filed under: uncultured bacterium
Lineage: Bacteria
Description: partial 16S ribosomal RNA
Rfam family: Bacterial small subunit ribosomal RNA
Source: RNAcentral